RNAcentral lists this ribosomal RNA (658 nucleotides) under Salmonella enterica. RNAcentral's name for it is "partial 23S ribosomal RNA". It matches the Rfam family "Bacterial large subunit ribosomal RNA", at positions 534 to 1191 of the family's 2925-position model. The record is from RNAcentral. Lineage: Bacteria; Pseudomonadati; Pseudomonadota; Gammaproteobacteria; Enterobacterales; Enterobacteriaceae.
GGGAGUGAAAAAGAACCUGAAACCGUGUACGUACAAGCAGUGGGAGCACAGGUUUACCUGUGUGACUGCGUACCUUUUGUAUAAUGGGUCAGCGACUUAUAUUCUGUAGCAAGGUUAACCGAAUAGGGGAGCCGGAGGGAAACCGAGUCUUAAUUGGGCGUUAAGUUGCAGGGUAUAGACCCGAAACCCGGUGAUCUAGCCAUGGGCAGGUUGAAGGUUGGGUAACACUAACUGGAGGACCGAACCGACUAAUGUUGAAAAAUUAGCGGAUGACCUGUGGCUGGGGGUGAAAGGCCAAUCAAACCGGGAGAUAGCUGGUUCUCCCCGAAAGCUAUUUAGGUAGCGCCUCGUGAAUUCAUCUCCGGGGGUAGAGCACUGUUUCGGCUAGGGGGCCAUCCCGGCUUACCAACCCGAUGCAAACUGCGAAUACCGGAGAAUGUUAUCACGGGAGACACACGGCGGGUGCUAACGUCCGUCGUGAAGAGGGAAACAACCCAGACCGCCAGCUAAGGUCCCAAAGUCAUGGUUAAGUGGGAAACGAUGUGGGAAGGCCCAGACAGCCAGGAUGUUGGCUUAGAAGCAGCCAUCAUUUAAAGAAAGCGUAAUAGCUCACUGGUCGAGUCGGCCUGCGCGGAAGAUGUAACGGGGCUAAACCAUG